Molecule: long non-coding RNA, 1511 nt
Filed under: Lactuca sativa (garden lettuce)
Lineage: Eukaryota; Viridiplantae; Streptophyta; Magnoliopsida; Asterales; Asteraceae
Description: long non-coding RNA (LSAT_LNC005866)
Source: RNAcentral
GUUGAACAAUCUAAUAAUAAUAAUAAUAAUAAUAAUAAUAAUAAUAAUAAUAAUAAUAAUGCAGCAGGUGGUGAAAUGCAACAAAUCCCGGAAUCAGUUUCCGUUAAUGAAGUUGCAAAAGCAUCAACAGAUAACGUGUCAAUGUCAAUGAACCAAUCACAACAGAACAUGACAGGUGGCAGGAUGCACCCUCCUCAAGGUGGAAUGUUGCCACAAUCAAGACCUCUUCAAUCGGAAUCACAACCCUCUUUCCAACAACAACAGAAUCAGCUAAUGCAACAGCAGUUACAAAGAUCAUCUGCCAUGAUGCUUGCAUCAAAUCCAUUAUCACAUUUAAACGCAAUGGGACAGAAUUCAAACAUGCAACAGUUAGGUCACAUGCUUAACAAAGCAACACCACUCCAAAUUCAGCUUCUACAGCAACAACAACAGCAACAGCAACAGCAACAACAGCAGCAACAACAACAACAACAGCCUCAGAUGCAGCAAAGGAAGCUGAUGAUGGGACUUGGAAACACCGGAAUGGGAACGGGAACGGGCGGAAACAACAUGGUGGGGCUUCAAGGGAUGGGGAAUGUGAUGGGUCGUGGUGGGACCCCGCCAAUGACAGGGGCAAUUUCGGGAAUGGGACAAAACCCGAUUAAUAUGAGUCAGGCUUCAAGUUUUAGUAAUGUGAUUAGUCAGCAACUUCGGAAUGGAAUGAUAACGCCCGCUCAGGCUGCCAUCAUGACAACGAAGCUGAGAAUGGCACAUAGUAGGAACCUGUUGGGUGCGGGUGGAGGGCAAAAUAGUAAUAUCACUGGAUUGCCUGGUGGGAACCGACAGGUCCAUCCAGGGUCGAGUAACUACUCGAUGCUGGGUCCCACUAUGAACCGUGCUGCUAACACCAUGAACCCGAUGCAACGAACCGCUAUGGCCCCACCAAAGCUGAUGUCAGGGAUGAAUGUGUACAUGAAUCAACAACAGCAGCAACAGCAACAACAACAGUUGAAUGUUCAACAACAGCAACAGCAACAGCAACAGCAACAACAAAUGACGCAACAGAUGCAGCAAAUGCCAGCUCAGCAACAGCAGCAGCAGCAGCAAGAGUCAACAUCGCCGUUACAGGCGGUACUUUCGCCACCUCAGCAGCAAGUGGGGUCACCAGGGAUGGGAGUGGGACAGCAGCAACAGGCGAGUCCACAGCAGAUGAGUCAGCGGACUCCGAUGAGUCCACAGCUGAGUUCAGGUGGGAUCCACCCUCCAAUGACAAUGAGUGGAGGUGGAGGUGGAGGUGGAGGUGGUCAGGAGGGUAAUUGUCCUGCAAGCCCACAGUUGAGCUCACAGACAAUGGGGUCUGUUGGUAGUAUCACUAAUUCACCAAUGGAGAUGCAGGCUGUCAACAAGAGUAGCUAACUUUGUGUUUCUAGUACUCACGUUAAUUAGGUUCUCAUGUUAAAUUAGUGUUGUGCUGUAAUUGGGAUGGAUGGGUAUAUAUAUAUUAAUUAUAUUUAUAUAAUGGAGAAUUAUUU